UGAGUAACACGUGGGUGAUCUGCCCUGCACUUUGGGAUAAGCCUGGGAAACUGGGUCUAAUACCGAAUAUACCCUGCUGGUCGCAUGGCCUGGUGGGGGAAAGCUUUUGCGGUGUGGGAUGGGCCCGCGGCCUAUCAGCUUGUUGGUGGGGUGAUGGCCUACCAAGGCGACGACGGGUAGCCGGCCUGAGAGGGUGACCGGCCACACUGGGACUGAGAUACGGCCCAGACUCCUACGGGAGGCAGCAGUGGGGAAUAUUGCACAAUGGGCGCAAGCCUGAUGCAGCGACGCCGCGUGAGGGAUGACGGCCUUCGGGUUGUAAACCUCUUUCAGCACAGACGAAGCGCAAGUGACGGUAUGUGCAGAAGAAGGACCGGCCAACUACGUGCCAGCAGCCGCGGUAAUACGUAGGGUCCGAGCGUUGUCCGGAAUUACUGGGCGUAAAGAGCUCGUAGGUGGUUUGUCGCGUUGUUCGUGAAAACUCACAGCUUAACUGUGGGCGUGCGGGCGAUACGGGCAGACUAGAGUACUGCAGGGGAGACUGGAAUUCCUGGUGUAGCGGUGGAAUGCGCAGAUAUCAGGAGGAACACCGGUGGCGAAGGCGGGUCUCUGGGCAGUAACUGACGCUGAGGAGCGAAAGCGUGGGGAGCGAACAGGAUUAGAUACCCUGGUAGUCCACGCCGUAAACGGUGGGUACUAGGUGUGGGUUUCCUUCCUUGGGAUCCGUGCCGUAGCUAACGCAUUAAGUACCCCGCCUGGGGAGUACGGCCGCAAGGCUAAAACUCAAAGGAAUUGACNGGGGCCCGCACAA
RNAcentral lists this ribosomal RNA (811 nucleotides) under Mycobacterium sp. RNAcentral describes it as "bacterial SSU rRNA". It matches the Rfam family "Bacterial small subunit ribosomal RNA", at positions 107 to 928 of the family's 1533-position model. Lineage: Bacteria; Bacillati; Actinomycetota; Actinomycetes; Mycobacteriales; Mycobacteriaceae. The record is from RNAcentral.